GUUAAAAUUGACUAUUGUGAGAGGAAUAGGAAAUAAAGUAGUUAAAAUAUUCUAAACACAAAAGUGAAAGUUAAGGAAGUAAAUGUCUGCAAGUUCUAAAUAUCAGGUACUUUGGGAGGAAAAUUCAAGGCAGCUCCUGACCUGGACCACACACCUGAAAACCAAUAACAUGUUCUUACUCCUUCUCUAGCCUUCUUUCUUAGAAGAGAUUGUCUACUGUUUGCAAAUAUGCUUUUAAAGGAACAAUAACAACUAUGUCCUCAAGAACCUUCCUUUGUAGGCUCAAGAGUAUUUUAACUAGAAGUCACUGAGUGCAGACCACUCUACGUCCCUACUUUUUUUGUACCAGGAAUUGAACUCAGGACACUCAACCACUGAUCCACAUUCCCAGCCCUAUUUUGUAUUUUAUUUAGAGACAGGGUUUCACUGAGUUCCUUACUUCCUCACCUUUGCUGAGGCUGGCUUUGAAUUCAUGAUACUCCUACAUGAAUUCAAAACAGAUAUGUUUUGACUACAAAGCAGAUAUGUCAGAUCCCCAGUUAAAGUCAGAACAUUCUGACACCUUAGACAUUCUGCCAUCCCCAUUUUUAAUUAUUAAGGGAAAUUAGAUACUCCUGCCUCUGCCUCUGCAGCUACUGGGAUUAUAGGGAAACACCACUACACCUGGCCCCAAUUUUAUUUAUAUAAAUUUAAAUUUAAAAGUAUUCACUAUUGAAUGAGUAAAAAUAAUCAAACUCAGUGAGUUUUUGUUGUUUUGUAUUAAGGAUUGAAUCAAGAGCAAUUUUAAAAUUUAUCACUAACCAAUGUAUGUAGUCCUUAUUUUUUAUUUCAAGACAGGGUCUCCCUAAGCUUCUGAAUCUUAUCUCAAAUUUGUGAUCCUCCUGAAUUUUCCACCUGAGUAGCUGGCAUUAUAAGACAAACACAACCCUACAUACCUUGCCAAACUCAGUGUUUAUAUUUACAGGAGACAAUAAAUGUGUAAAGCAAUUGUAU
RNAcentral lists this long non-coding RNA (993 nucleotides) under Marmota monax (woodchuck). Lineage: Eukaryota; Metazoa; Chordata; Mammalia; Rodentia; Sciuridae. The record is from RNAcentral.